This 104-nucleotide small RNA is filed under the name Epilithonimonas mollis. RNAcentral's name for it is "Chryseobacterium molle Flavo-1 RNA". It matches the Rfam family "Flavo-1 RNA". Lineage: Bacteria; Pseudomonadati; Bacteroidota; Flavobacteriia; Flavobacteriales; Weeksellaceae. The record is from RNAcentral.
CUGCAGCCCGACUUGAGCGGAAAUCCUUUUUUGCGUGUACUUCAAGUUCUAUUGAAACUGAAAUCGUCCUGCAAAAAAGAUUGAGAGCGGAAGGCGGAUUAAGC